This 252-nucleotide ribosomal RNA is filed under the name uncultured euryarchaeote. Its description in RNAcentral is "partial 16S ribosomal RNA". It matches the Rfam family "Archaeal small subunit ribosomal RNA", at positions 478 to 726 of the family's 1478-position model. Lineage: Archaea; Methanobacteriati; Methanobacteriota. The record is from RNAcentral.
GGCGGCUCGAGUGGUGGCCACUAUUACUGGGCUUAAAGCGUCCGUAGCCGGGUUGUUAAGUCUCCUGGGAAAUCCAACGGCUCAACCGUUGGGCGUUCAGGGGAUACUGGCAAUCUAGGGAUCGGGGGAGGUGAGAGGUACUCUAGGGGGUAGGAGUGGAAAUCCUGUAAUCCUUGGGGGACCACCUGGUGGCGAAGGCGUCUCACCAGAACGACUCCGACGGUGAGGGACGAAAGCUGGGGGAGCAAACCG